CCCCUUGAACCGGCGGAAAAGAUGCUCCAUAUUACUCCUGUCCUUCGGGACUAUGGAUGUAGACGGAUUCUGUGCGACUAUUCAGGACCCCGGGGCGGUACCGGGCGGGUCCACCACAAGCGCUCUGAUCGGCAGAGCGUUUUUGAUGGGCCCGAAAUAGGAUCGACUGGUGGUUAAGUGGUCUCUUGCAUCUCGGCUGUCUGCCACCGUUAUCGGCGAAAACAGUACAAUUGCAAACGACAAUCGUGCUCCGGUUGCUCUGGCUGCGUAAGCAGUUCGAGUCGAACCGACUUUAAGUCCUCUCGCCUAGCAGCGUGAGGCGGGGUUCGCAGGUACCUGGCAACAGAAACCUGCACU
This 357-nucleotide transfer-messenger RNA is filed under the name Phaeobacter sp. HF9A. It matches the Rfam family "Alphaproteobacteria transfer-messenger RNA". Rfam says of the family: Bacterial tmRNA, also known as 10Sa RNA or SsrA, is named for its dual tRNA and mRNA-like properties. Its role is to liberate the mRNA from a stalled ribosome. Lineage: Bacteria; Pseudomonadati; Pseudomonadota; Alphaproteobacteria; Rhodobacterales; Roseobacteraceae. The record is from RNAcentral.